Molecule: ribosomal RNA, 492 nt
Filed under: uncultured bacterium
Lineage: Bacteria
Description: partial 16S ribosomal RNA
Rfam family: Bacterial small subunit ribosomal RNA
Source: RNAcentral
AGUGAACGCUGGCGGUAGGCCUAACACAUGCAAGUCGAACGGCAGCACAGUAAGAGCUUGCUCUUACGGGUGGCGAGUGGCGGACGGGUGAGGAAUACAUCGGAAUCUACUUUUUCGUGGGGGAUAACGUAGGGAAACUUACGCUAAUACCGCAUACGACCUACGGGUGAAAGCAGGGGAUCUUCGGACCUUGCGCGUUUGAAUGAGCCGAUGUCGGAUUAGCUAGUUGGCGAGGUAAGGGCCCACCAAGGCGACGAUCCGUAGCAGGUCUGAGAGGAUGAUCAGCCACACUGGAACUGAGACACGGUCCAGACUCCUACGGGAGGCAGCAGUAGGGAAUAUUGGACAAUGGGCGCAAGCCUGAUCCAGCCAUACCGCGUGGGUGAAGAAGGCCUUCGGGUUGUAAAGCCCUUUUGUUGGGAAAGAACAGCAGCAGGUUAAUACCCCGAUGUUCUGACGGUACCCAAAGAAUAAGCACCGGCUAACUUCGUG